UGAUCUCAUAGCAAGGAAAUACGUUGUUUAGGUAACGCUAGAAGGUGGGUAGGACUGUUGUGUGAGGAAAGAAGUUGUUCAUUUGUUCGAUUUCUUGUAUAUUAUAAACUUUUAAUAAUAUGGAAAAUUGAGUAGCAAGAAACUCGAUCUGUUUUGAGAGGAAGGGAUUUUAUGGAAAAAGAAGAGAAGUUUCCGGUUUUGAAGUUGCAAUAUCUAUUUUACUUCAUCGAGUUACGGUGUAAAUCUGACUUGGCAGGACUACGCCUAAGCUUCGACAGACCUUUGUUACUAUUUCACUCCGAGUGAAACUGAAAAACGUCGCCAUAUUGGACAGUUUUAUGUUGAGAGAGGAAAAACUUUUUAACCUUUAACUAAGUCACUCUUAACAUGCUAAUAGUGUUAUAACUUACAUAGUUUCAAGUUCAACAUCUGAAGAUAGAUUGUAAGGAUUCCACGAUUUUAUAGUCGAUUGUGAUUUAAAGAACUACAGUAGGCCACCGAAGUCACAAUGAUACUAGAGACUAGAGUAGAAUAGGAUGAUCAUUUUUAGCAGAAACCUUUUGAGUGACAAACUGGCUGAUGCAGAUGUACCAGAUUUCAUUUGGAAAAUAUUCUAAGUAUUGAGAGACUUUAUGUGUAUUAGACAUGAACAUUUAAACACAUAACAAACCUUACCUCCUAGGUUUACAGUGGCCCAGCAGUAAGUCUGACUGCUUAUAACACUAAAAACUGUGAUCCGAUACUCAUGGUGGGCACAGCACAAGAUGCCCAUAGGGUAGCUGUGUUUAAUAACAACCAAUAUAUAGGAAGGAUAGUGCAAAUCUUAUGCAGCAUACCCAAACCUUUCUGCAGCCAAACAUGAAAAGGUGGUUGCUCACAAUAAAAAAUAGAAUGCAAUACAUCGAUGGGGAAGAAAGCAAAACUGUUCUUGAAGUUAUUAGCAUUCCAGCUCCCAUUUUGAUGUUUGGACACAAAUACAAAGAUGUUAAGGUUUUACACCACACGAUGGGAGAAGGGACUUUAGAGUUACUGUCACAUAUUACAAUAUAUCAAUGGAGUCCUCAAGAAACCAUUCAGCUAUAUACAGCCAGAUUUGAUAAAUCUCCAGUGUACUAGAAGCAAGUGAUUUCCUAAAAUUGUCCUUGUGGUCUUCCUUAACUGAACAAAUACAAGGUCAUUUUAAUAAAUAGAAGCUGGCUAUUCAUCUGAAGGACUGUUUCCUUUUGUGAAUGCUGAUGGUAGUUCUAUCUCUGAGCAGUACAAGGAUGCAGGAAUGGGUCUAGGUUAUUAAGAGACAACUAAGAAGGAUCUAGAAGUAUGUCACACCAUUAUUCUGUACAGUGCAAGAUAUUUGUUAACAUCUUUUGAAUAAAAGUUUUAUAGGUGAAUCUUUUAGCUUAGUUACUGACUCAAGGUUUUAUAUGUGUAUUUUUAUUUACUUAUUUAUUAUUAUUGUAUUUAAAAGCUGAAGCACCCAUCCUACAUCCAGGGGCAUACCAAUUAAAUGUAU
Long non-coding RNA from Limulus polyphemus (Atlantic horseshoe crab), 1510 nucleotides. RefSeq lists it as uncharacterized. NCBI's taxonomy places the organism in Eukaryota, Metazoa, Arthropoda, Merostomata, Xiphosura, Limulidae. The record is from RefSeq and is a predicted model, not a curated record. The transcript is spliced from 5 exons.